This 71-nucleotide transfer RNA is filed under the name Balanoglossus carnosus. Its description in RNAcentral is "tRNA-Met". RNAcentral also lists the same sequence under 1 other name. The record is from RNAcentral. Lineage: Eukaryota; Metazoa; Hemichordata; Enteropneusta; Ptychoderidae.
GGCAAAAUCAGCUAAAAUAAGCUAGCGGGCUCAUUCCCCGAAAAUGGCGGGCUAAAUUCCCCCUUUUGCUA